RNAcentral lists this ribosomal RNA (776 nucleotides) under uncultured Neocallimastigales. RNAcentral describes it as "partial large subunit ribosomal RNA". It matches the Rfam family "Eukaryotic large subunit ribosomal RNA", at positions 24 to 645 of the family's 3401-position model. Lineage: Eukaryota; Fungi; Neocallimastigomycota; Neocallimastigomycetes; Neocallimastigales. The record is from RNAcentral.
UAUCUCUGUAGAGUCUGCAUAUCAAUAAGCGGAGGAAAAGAAACUAACUAGGAUUCCCUCAGUAACGGCGAGUGAAGCGGGAAGAGCUCAAAUUUGAAAUCUUCAAGGUUCUACCUUGACGAAUUGUAGUUUAAAGAAGUGUUUUCUGUUGGAGUUUUGGUAAAAGUUCUUUGGAAUAGGACAUCAUAGAGGGUGAGAAUCCCGUAUUUGACCAUUAUUUCCAGCUUUGUGAUACACUUUCAAAGAGUCGGAUUGUUUGGGAAUGCAGUCCAAAAUGGGUGGUAAAUUUCAUCUAAAGCUAAAUACUGGCGAGAGACCGAUAGCGAACAAGUACCGUGAGGGAAAGAUGAAAAGAACUUUGAAAAGAGAGUUAAACAGUACGUGAAAUUGUCAAAAGGGAAGCGUUUGACACCAGUGUUGUUUUCUCGAAAAUCAAUUAAAAAAGGCAGGAUUUUGUGUUGUAUUGACUUUAUCAGCUUUCUGCACUCUUUUCUUGUCUUUUUUUAAUGCACUUUUCGUUUAACAAGUCAACAUCAAUUUCUUUUGUUGUAAAAGAGUCAUUGGAAGGUGGCUUUCACUUCGGUGAAAGUGUUUUAUAGCCUUUGGCUUCUGCAAUCGGAGAGAUUGAGGUCUGCAGCGUAGAUCCUUCGGGGCUAGAUACGUAGAUGCUAAGUUAUAGUUUUUUAUAGACAACUUGUUGACUAUAAUUAAUCAUGUAGCUUACUCGUUUGCGCUAUUUUACCUACGCUUAGGAUGUUGAAGUCAUCGUAUCGCGC